Triplophysa dalaica is the source of this 7844-nucleotide RNA transcript. RefSeq lists it as uncharacterized. The record is from RefSeq and is a predicted model, not a curated record. Lineage: Eukaryota; Metazoa; Chordata; Actinopteri; Cypriniformes; Nemacheilidae. The transcript is spliced from 2 exons.
GCAAAACAAGCAGAUUUCUAAUACAACGCAGAAAUGGCCCUAGAUAUCACACAUACGUCGAGCAAACUUCUGCCAUUCGGACAUUAUUAUAGAGAUAAAUAUGUACCGGUCCAAAGACGUACAGGAUCUCGGUACACAUCCCUCACCAUGUUACAGCAAUAUAACAGACAUGGUACUGUAUUAACCUGUUGUAAAUACUGCACUCUUUGUAAAUGUCCGAUGACAUAUUGUAAUGCUUAUUGAUAUGAUUUGUAAAGUUCAUUGAGGUUUUUUGAAACAUGGUUAAAAUACAAUGUUUAGAGAAAAUUGUUGAUUAUAAAUUGUUUAUAUUGUGUUUAAAAAUGAAAAGCUUUUCUGUAUGUAAUGUUCCUUUAAUAAUGCGUAAUGCGUCACAUGACUAAGAGAGGGAGUGAAGAACUGUGGGUCAGAGAGCAAUGGAUGCGAACAGGUCGUAACACGUGCGGCUCCUUCAAAACGUAUAAUCUCUGCAUAUGGUCCUAAAGGCGCACACGGUAUUUGUUUAUAUUUGUUGCAUGUUAUAAUUUUUAUGUUUGAGUUUAUGUGCUUUAAUGUGUGUAAUGUAACGUGUUCUGUAUUGUAACAAUGAGGCAAAUUGGACUAUUUGUUAUGGGAUUCUGUUGUAAAAGAGGUGUGUUUAAGUUGUAUAUGUCUUUUAUUUGUAGUUUUCACGGUGUCUUUCUUAGACCGUGACAUCUUCGGAUCGACACAGGAAAGAGAGAGCAAAAUAAAAGUCUAAAAGACAUCUGUAUGAUUCGUGGCCGUGAUUUAUUGGAUCAGUGCAGUUACAGUGAAAACGUACCGCCGAAGUCGACGAGAGUACAGAGUAAAGAAAGACGCCAUAAGAGAAAAGACGAUAUCGCUGGUGUAGGCGGAGCUUCGGUUUGCUGAUCGACAGAUGACCGGGAGUGUUGGUUUCUGGCAUCUUUAGAGAUAUCGCGUCUUACCAGGAGAGGGCGUGAAUUACCUGUGUUGACAACAUCGCCGCAAAUCUUCGGCAAAGACUUCAGAGUCCAGCGUUACUGUGUGACGUUACUCAAUACCGGAAGAAGAGUGCGACCAUACAAACAUCAGGUUUGACUGUUAACUUUAAAAUUUCUGGACAUUUAAAAGGACUUUGAUAAAAGGGAAACGUUUCAUUUAAAUAUAAUUGUGUUUAUUUGAUUAUCAUUACAUUUACACUUUCUAUUAUUAUCAACAUCGUACAAUUCAACUGUUGUUCAUGUUCUUGCUCUGUUAUAUGAUCUGAGUUCUUAAAUGGUAUUUUAAGUGUUACUGGGAUUUUUCAGUUAAACACUGUCUUGGUCUCAAAGAGUAUAUAAAGUAGAGCUAAAAAAUAAUUAAACAAGAAGAAGAUAAAGUGCCAGGCACAAUGUCAAAUAAUGAAAGGUUGUUGCAAGGUGAGCAAAUGGAGACCAGUCAGACAGAGUUAGAAACAAUACAAGAAGUAGAGAAAGGUUCUACUUCUGCCCCUUCUAAAAAAGAACCAAGAAAGUCUUCAAGGGAAAGAAAACUAACUGAAAAAAUGCUGGAGCUUAAGCAGCAAGAAAUUUCUCAAAAGGAGAUUAAGUGGAUCAAGCUUUAUGAAAGUUGGAAAGAUCAAGCGAAAGAUACACGUGUCAAAAUAAAGGAUGAGUGUUCUGAGGAAGACUUAAGUAAAAUGAUGGAUGCCGUAGAAGGACUGGAGACACAAGUAAAAGAAAUGUAUGAAACCAUUCGUUCUCAAACAGCACCUUCUACCGAAAUUAGAAGGAAGAUGGAUUCCUGUACAGCAGUAACAGCAGACCUAAUGAGGCUACUGAAAGUACGUAUGUGUGAAGUCGGGUUAGAGGAAUUUGAUGCUACAGGAGAAAAUGCAAGAAUUCACAUGGUGCUGGAUAAAGAGUACGCCAACUCAAUAUUUGGAAGUACAAAAUCAAAACACACUGUCCAAAGUAGCCAUUCAAAAUGUUCGUCCGAAAACCUAAGCAUCGCAGCAAAAAGAGCAGAAUGUGCAGCACAACUCGCAGCAAAACAGGCUGAAAUUAAGAUGGAAGAAGCUAUAGCUGCACAAAAACAGGAGCUAAAGAGACUGGAAAACCAAAGAGAUCUACAAGUAAUAGCGGCAAAGCUUAAAGCAUACUCUGAAGCUGAUUCUAGUGACGAAAGUAGAACCACAGGUAGUGAAGUGGCCAAUAGUCCCAUUUAUUCUCCUAAAGAAAUGAAAAAGGAACAGACAUUCAUUAACAUUGACAAAGUGCAACCAAAUCAAUCUAACGAUGAUGGAUCAUUAGCACAAGCCUUGCAUGACGCAAUGGUUCUUACCAGACUACCAGCACCCGAACCCUCAGUCUUUACAGGCGAUCCACUUACAUUCUUAGAGUGGAGUUCAAGUUUUAAAGCUUUGAUUGAAAGACGAUGCACAAAUCCAGUUGAUAGGUUAUUCUAUCUAAAGAAAUACAUCAGUGGUGAAGCAAAAUGUGUACUGGAGGGAAGCUUUUUCCGAAAGGAUGAUAAAGCCUAUGAACAGGCAUGGGAGCUAUUGAACUCUAGAUAUGGUCAUCCCUUUGUAAUACAGCGGGCAUUUAGAGAAAAACUAAAUAACUGGCCCAAGAUUAGUUCUAGGGAGUCAGUUAAAUUGAGACAAUUUAGUGAUUUCCUGAUAUCCUGCAACAAUGCUAUACCACACAUCAAAGGACUUCAGGUGUUAAAUGACUGUGAAGAGAAUCAGAGAAUGGUACAAAAACUCCCUGAUUGGGUAACCUCUCAAUGGAACCGUUAUGUCACAAAGCACUUAAGAGAAACGGAGGAAUACCCUAAGUUCAAUGAGUUUGCUGAAUUUGUGGCCCGUGAGGCAGAAGUGGCAUGCAACCCUGUAACUUCCUUUAAUGCCUUGAAGUCAACAGAAGAAAGGCCCAUCAGAGACGUAAAGCGCCAAAGGGCCAACGCGUUUAUAACAAAUGUAAAGGCACCUGAUAAGUUCUGUACAGUGAUGAGGUCGAACAGUGCCGGUGAAAAUCAACCAAAGGAAUCAAAUAAAGUAAAUGUCACAUCGCCAUUUUCAGAGCCAGUUCCAUGCCUGUGUUGUGGAGACAGCCACUCCAUCCACAAAUGUCAGACGUUUGCCAAUAAGCCAGUGGAAGAGAAGAAAAGGCUUAUAUUUGAUAACAAUCUCUGCUUUGGGUGUCUUAGACGAGGACAUAAUUCGAGAGAGUGUAGAAGCAAGGCAAUUUGUAGCAUUUGUAAGAAACGUCAUCCAACCCCACUUCAUGAAGAACGCUCUUCUGCUGCAGCAGACACAUCCUCUCAUGCUAUCGAAACAGAAGAAACAACUUCUUCCCUUUCUUGCUCUGUUGACAGAGGUUGUGGUGGGAGUACAUCCAUGAUAGUUCCUGUGUGGAUUUCUUCAUCUACAAAUCCAGAAAAACAGAUCCUGGUGUAUGCCUUACUGGAUACCCAAAGCAGCAACACCUUUGUAGACAAAGAAGUAUGUGAAGAGAUAGGUGCGAGUCUAGAGCCAGUUAAGUUAAAGCUUACCACAAUGAUGGGAAAAGAUUCCAUUAUUCAGAGUGAGAGAGUCAAUGGGCUUCGAGUUAAAGGGCUUCUCUCUCAAAGUCUUGUCAACUUGCCACCCGCCUAUACCAGAGAUUUCAUUCCUCUUGAACGUUCCCACAUACCUACCUCUCAGACUGCAAAAAGGUGGAAUCAUCUAAACAGUAUAGUGCAGGAAAUGCCAAAGCUGAUGGAUUGCAAAGUCGGACUGUUGAUAGGUUACGACUGCUCAAGAGCACUGGCACCACGACAAGUCAUCACAGGAGGUGAAGAUGAGCCCUAUGCCAUUAAGACAGAUUUAGGUUGGAGUAUUGUCGGUAGCUCACCAAAGGUUGCAAAGUCUACAGAAGUAAUAGGUCUGUGCCAUCGCGUACACGUCAAGGAAGUUCCACCAUUGACACCAGCCACCAUCAUCAGAGCUCUUGAAUCAGACUUCAAGGAUACCAACCCUGGAGAAAGGAGCAUGUCACAAGAUGACAUACAAUUCAUGCAACUAUUAAAUGAGAAAACAAACUACAAUGCGGAUGGUCACUUGGAAAUGCCCCUACCCUUUAGGACACGCCCACACCUGCCAGAAAAUAAGCGGUUGGCUUUGGCACGGCUGAAGCGGUUAAAAGGGAAGCUUGAGAAAAAUCCAAAGUUCAAGGAAGACUAUGUCAAAUUCAUGGGAGGUGUUUUCAAGGAUGGUGAUGCUGAGAGAGCUGAACAACAAUCUGAAACAGGAAAUGUGUGGUAUAUCCCUCACCAAGGUGUUUACCACCCUAAAAAGCCAAACAAAAUUAGGGUAGUGUUCGACUGUUCAGCCAAGUAUGAUGGCACUGCACUAAAUGAUCAUCUGCUCGUUGGACCAGAUCUUACAAAUGGACUGACUGGAGUGCUCUGCAGGUUUCGCAAAUACCCUAUAGCAGUCAUCUGUGAUGUGGAGAAGAUGUUCCACAGGUUCCAUGUAAGCCAGGAGGACAGAGAUUAUUUACGUUUCUUGUGGUGGGAGAACGGGGAUACGAAUUCUGAGCCAAAGGAAUAUCGUAUGAAAGUCCAUCUAUUUGGAGCGGCAUCCUCACCUGGCUGCGCAAAUUAUGGAAUGAAGCAUCUUGCAAACCAAAAUGAGAAAGACUAUCCUGCAGCAGCCAACUUCAUAAGGAAAAAUUUCUAUGUUGACGAUGGCCUCGUCAGUGUUGAAGAUGUGGACACUGCCAUAAACCUAGUGAGAGAAGCACAAACUGUGUGUGCCAAAGGAAGACUGCAUCUUCAUAAAUUCAUCUCCAAUAACAGAGAAGUUUUGGAGUCAAUACCUGACAAUGAACGAGCAACUGAAAUGCAUGACGUGGAUCUCAGGCAUGAUGACCUUCCAGUCCAAACUGUGUUAGGAGUGAAGUGGAGUGCAAAUAGUGACACCUUCUCAUUUAAAGUUAUUUUGGAUGAGAAACCAGCAACGAGGCGGGGAAUUCUCUCAACUAUAGCUUCUGUGUUUGACCCACUGGGCUUUCUAGCUCCUUUCCUCCUCCUGGGAAAGAAAAUACUACAGGACAUGUGCCGAAAGGGCAUUGAAUGGGAUGAACCACUGCCAGAAGAAUUAAAGCCACGAUGGGAAAGCUGGCUAAAUGAUCUAAAGAAUCUGCAGGGUCUUCAGAUUCCAAGAUGCAUCACAUCUGGAAAAAUGGAAACGACCCAGAGAAUUGAACUUCAUCAUUUUUCCGAUGCGAGUAGUCAAGGGUAUGGUCAGUGCUCAUACAUACGAUUGCUGAGUGAAGACAAAGUACACUGCUCUUUAGUCAUUGGGAAAGCAAGGGUUGCACCCACUAAAGUUGUGACAAUACCCAGGCUUGAGUUAUCAGCUGCAGUAGUUUCUUCAGCAGUCAGCAGUAUGUUAAGGGAAGAGCUAGAACUCAAAAUCGACCAAGAAUAUUUUUGGACAGACUCAAAAGUAGUCUUGGGCUAUAUCAAUAAUGAAGCUAGAAGGUUCCACGUUUUUGUAGCCAAUAGAGUUCAAAGAAUCAGAGAAACAUCAGACCCCGCACAGUGGUACUACGUUGAUAGUGACAGUAAUCCAGCAGACCAUGCCUCCAGAGGCCUCAGUGUGUCAGAGUUGAUCAGUUCAAAUUGGUUUACUGGACCCAAGUUUUUGUGGGAAAGAGAGAUUGUCACGUCGGAGUCAGAUCCAGAGCUCUUGGUGGGUGAUCCUGAAGUAAAAGUGACACAGGUACUACAAACCAAGCUAGAAAAGGAAGAACAAUUUUUGGACAGAUUCAGUCGGUUCUCAAAAUGGCAUACAGCAUUGAAAGUGGUCGCUCGAAUCCAGCAACUAGCUAAAGGAAACAAAUUCCCAAAGCCCAUAAAUGUCGAGGACUUAAAGAAAGCAGGUGUCGCGCUUAUAAAAUUGGCACAAAAGGAUGCAUUCGAAAAAGAAAUGGAAACACUAAGUCAUGGCAAACUUCCAAAUAACAAUCAAUUUUUCCAGCUUGAUCCAGUGCUGCACGAUGGCGUUCUCAGAGUAGGGGGGCGUUUAACCAAAGCUUCCUCACCUUUGGACUUGAAGCAUCCAAUAAUCCUGCCAAAGAAUGGUUCGGUGACACGUCUAAUUUUGGGUCACUGCCAUGAGAAAACUCAACACCAAGGCAGAGGGCAAACCCUUAACGAACUGAGAGCUAACGGUUACUGGAUUGUUGGUGGCAGUAAAGUUGUAGCUAACUACAUUAAGCAGUGCGUUACAUGCAGAAGAGCUCGCAGGCCAACAGAAACACAGAAGAUGGCAGACCUACCUGCUAACCGUGUUGAUCCCUCGCCACCGUUUUCCUACUGUGGCAUGGAUUGUUUCGGGCCAUUUCACACCAAGCAAGGCCGUAAAGAGUACAAGAGAUAUGGCCUCAUAUUCACCUGUCUCUCUUCUAGAGCAAUUCAUGUGGAAAUGCUGGAAGACCUUACUACUGAUGCUUUCAUAAAUGCUCUGCGGAGUUUUAUAGCAAUCCGUGGUGCUGUACGAGAAAUCCGGUCAGAUCAAGGCACAAAUUUCAUUGGGGCAAAGAAUGAACUGACGAAGGCACUUAACGAGUUGGACAAAGAGAGACUAACUGCAUACUUAGCCCAAAAACAAUGUGACUUUACAUUCAAUGUACCUGAUGCCAGCCACAUGGGGGGUAUUUGGGAAAGGCAGAUCAGAACAAUUAGGAGUGUCUUAAAUUGGGUCCUCUCUCAAAGUGCUGGCAGAUUAGAUGAUGCUUCCUUAAGAACCUUCCUUUAUGAAGCCAUGUCUAUCAUAAAUUGCCGUCCACUCACCACUGAUACCAUUAAUGACCCAAAGAGCCUAGAGCCUCUUACCCCAAACCACUUGCUCACCAUGAAAGCUUCUGUACCGCUGCCACCACCAGGAAAAUUUGAAGCAGAAGACCUUUAUUCCAAAAAAAGGUGGCGUAGAGUCCAGUACUUGACAGAGCAAUUCUGGGGUAGAUGGAAAAGGGAGUACUUGGCAAACAUAGCACUCAGACAGCGCUGGCAUUCCGCAAAACGAAAUGUAAAAAUCGGAGAUGUUGUCAUUCUCCAAGAGGACGCACUUCCACGCAAUGGCUGGAGACUAGGAAGAGUGCUUGAUGUUCGUACAGAUGAAGAUGGAUUGGUGCGAAAGGUCACAAUUCAAUUAGGCGAUAGAAAGGCGAGUAAAGAGGGCAAAAGCAAAAACAAUAAUUUUUCUAUUCUUGAACGUCCAAUUCAUAAAUUGGUUGUGCUUGUAGAAAACAACUAAAUUUGUGUGGUAAUCUCUAAAUGCAAUAAUGCAUGGAAUUUGAAGUACUCAUUUAACAUGAACAUGGAUAAGUAAAAACACAAUUUGUUCUGAUGUUUGAUUUUGAAAAUUACUGGAUUUAUUCAAACAUUUAUUGAAGUUCAUCAUAAAUCAUAGUAAUUUGAUGGGAGUGUAAAUGUCCGAUGACAUAUUGUAAUGCUUAUUGAUAUGAUUUGUAAAGUUCAUUGAGGUUUUUUGAAACAUGGUUAAAAUACAAUGUUUAGAGAAAAUUGUUGAUUAUAAAUUGUUUAUAUUGUGUUUAAAAAUGAAAAGCUUUUCUGUAUGUAAUGUUCCUUUAAUAAUGCGUAAUGCGUCACAUGACUAAGAGAGGGAGUGAAGAACUGUGGGUCAGAGAGCAAUGGAUGCGAACAGGUCGUAACACGUGCGGCUCCUUCAAAACGUAUAAUCUCUGCAUAUGGUCCUAAAGGCGCACACGUUUUCACGGUGUCUUUCUUAGACCGUGACAUCUUCGGAUCGACACAGGAAAGAGAGAGCAAAAUAAAAGUCUAAAAGACAUCUG